Molecule: ribosomal RNA, 394 nt
Filed under: uncultured bacterium
Lineage: Bacteria
Description: partial 16S ribosomal RNA
Rfam family: Bacterial small subunit ribosomal RNA
Source: RNAcentral
AUACGGAGGAUGCAAGCGUUAUCCGGAUUUAUUGGGUUUAAAGGGUGCGUAGGCGGAUGAUUAAGCGUGAGGUGAAAUGCCACUGCUCAACAGUGGAACUGCCUCGCGAACUGGUUGUCUUGAAUGCUCCUGCCGUGGGAGGAAUGUGUGGUGUAGCGGUGAAAUGCAUAGAGAUCACACAGAACACCGAUUGCGAAGGCAUCUCACGAAGGGGUGAUUGACGCUGAGGCACGAAAGCGUGGGGAUCAAACAGGAUUAGAUACCCUGGUAGUCCACGCAGUAAACGAUGAUAACUAACCGCUGGGUCGUAGUGAUUCAGUGGCCAAGCGAAAGCGAUAAGUUAUCCCCCUGGGGAGUACGACCUCAAGGUUGAAACUCAAAUGAAUUAACGGGG